AGUGAACGCUGGCGGUAGGCCUAACACAUGCAAGUCGAACGGCAGCACAGUAAGAGCUUGCUCUUACGGGUGGCGAGUGGCGGACGGGUGAGGAAUACAUCGGAAUCUACUUUUUCGUGGGGGAUAACGUAGGGAAACUUAUGCUAAUACCGCAUACGACCUACGGGUGAAAGCAGGGGAUCUUCGGACCUUGCGCGAUUGAAUGAGCCGAUGUCGGAUUAGCUAGUUGGCGGGGUAAAGGCCCACCAAGGCGACGAUCCGUAGCUGGUCUGAGAGGAUGAUCAGCCACACUGGAACUGAGACACGGUCCAGACUCCUACGGGAGGCAGCAGUAGGGAAUAUUGGACAAUGGGCGCAAGCCUGAUCCAGCCAUACCGCGUGAGUGAAGAAGGCCUUCGGGUUGUAAAGCCCUUUUGUUGGGGAAGAAAAGCAGCAGGUUAAUACCCCGCUGUUCUGACGGUACCCAAAGAAUAAGCACCGGCUAACUUCGUG
Molecule: ribosomal RNA, 492 nt
Filed under: uncultured bacterium
Lineage: Bacteria
Description: partial 16S ribosomal RNA
Rfam family: Bacterial small subunit ribosomal RNA
Source: RNAcentral